Long non-coding RNA from Cydia amplana, 116 nucleotides. RefSeq lists it as uncharacterized. The transcript has 3 exons. Lineage: Eukaryota; Metazoa; Arthropoda; Insecta; Lepidoptera; Tortricidae. The record is from RefSeq and is a predicted model, not a curated record.
UUUGAUACAGGGUAACACAGUGGACGGUCUUGCAAGAGUCACGGACAGGAAACUUGGAAGAAACAUGCAGACUAUAAUAAAUGGCACAGUUUUCGUUCCCGUUAGUUACAACCCAA